This 250-nucleotide ribosomal RNA is filed under the name uncultured bacterium. Its description in RNAcentral is "partial 16S ribosomal RNA". It matches the Rfam family "Bacterial small subunit ribosomal RNA", at positions 505 to 754 of the family's 1533-position model. The record is from RNAcentral.
GUGCCAGCAGCCGCGGUAAUACGGAGGGUGCAAGCGUUGUUCGGAAUUACUGGGCGUAAAGCGCGUGUAGGCGGACCGAUAAGUUGGGAGUGAAAGCCCUGGGCUCAACCCAGGAAGUGCUUCCAAUACUGCCGGUCUUGAGUUCCGGAGAGGGUGGUGGAAUUCCCGGUGUAGAGGUGAAAUUCGUAGAUAUCGGGAGGAACACCAGUGGCGAAGGCGACCACCUGGACGAGAACUGACGCUGAGACGC